This is a long non-coding RNA of Sphaeramia orbicularis (orbiculate cardinalfish), 428 nucleotides long. RefSeq lists it as uncharacterized. The transcript is spliced from 4 exons. The record is from RefSeq and is a predicted model, not a curated record. NCBI's taxonomy places the organism in Eukaryota, Metazoa, Chordata, Actinopteri, Kurtiformes, Apogonidae.
UGACGUAGGUACCUUAUAAAUACCGCCCUCCUCCUCCGUCACAUCCUCUUUCCGUUGCUCUUCUCGCUUUGAGAAACUCUCCACACGAUGAGAGCCAAGUGGAGGAAGAAGCGUAUGCGCAGGCUGAAGCGUAAAAGGAGAAAGAUGAGGCAGAGGUCAAAGUAAGCCCUCAUCCCCUACCAGCUGUGAUCCUGUCUGGUGGCGGAGUACGAUCACGAGGAACCGACUUGGUGAAUUGUUGGCCAUCAAAUUCAGACAACCACACUUCUCAUGAAGCCUGCUGUGGAUGCCGACUGGAAUGCGGCAAGAUGCUGGACGGAUCUUGGAACAUCAAAAAUACAGCUGCUUUGUUCAUGGACCAUAAUAAGAUCUUGUUAAACAACUCGUGGUGUUUUGAACAAUAAAUGAACUAUGUUCUUAAAAGUUGA